Molecule: small nucleolar RNA, 149 nt
Filed under: Microsporum canis CBS 113480
Lineage: Eukaryota; Fungi; Ascomycota; Eurotiomycetes; Onygenales; Arthrodermataceae
Description: Arthroderma otae CBS 113480 A. fumigatus snoRNA Afu_198
Rfam family: A. fumigatus snoRNA Afu_198
Source: Rfam by way of RNAcentral
UACACAUCUUUUAUAUGAUGAAUACCACACGAACCAAAUACUUUUAGGAAGAGCCGGAAGAGGUAUGACAACCGUUGCCGUGUGGAACGGGUUAAUUUAUUAUUUAUGUCGUCGAUGCUUAUAACGGUUCUGCUGAGGAAAGCUUGUGU